GAGUUUGAUCAUGGCUCAGAACGUACGCUGGCGGCACGCCUAACACAUGCAAGUCGAACGAAGUAGCAAUACUUAGUGGCAGACGGGUGAGUAACAUGUAGGUAUCUGCCCUUUGGCCUGGAAUAACACGAGGAAACUUGUGCUAAUACCGGAUAAGUCUUUACGGAGAAAGCUUUAUGCACCAUUGGAUGAGCCUGCACUUGAUUAGUUUGUUGGUAGGGUAAUGGCCUACCAAGACUGUGAUCAAUAGCUGAUUUGAGAGGAUGAUCAGCCACAUUGGGACUGAGACACGGCCCAAACUCCUACGGGAGGCAGCAGUGGGGAAUCUUGCACAAUGGAGGAAACUCUGAUGCAGCGAUGCCGCGUGAGUGAAGAAGGCCCUUGGGUUGUAAAGCUCUUUCGUCGGGGAAGAAAAUGACUGUACCCGAAUAAGAAGGUCCGGCUAACUUCGUGCCAGCAGCCGCGGUAAUACGAAGGGACCUAGCGUAGUUCGGAAUUACUGGGCUUAAAGAGUUCGUAGGUGGUUGAAAAAGUUAGUGGUGAAAUCCCAGAGCUUAACUCUGGAACUGCCAUUAAAACUUUUCAGCUAGAGUAUGAUAGAGGAAAGCAGAAUUUCUAGUGUAGAGGUGAAAUUCGUAGAUAUUAGAAAGAAUACCAAUUGCGAAGGCAGCUUUCUGGAUCAUUACUGACACUGAGGAACGAAAGCAUGGGUAGCGAAGAGGAUUAGAUACCCUCGUAGUCCAUGCCGUAAACGAUGUGUGUUAGACGUUGGAAAUUUAUUUUCAGUGUCGCAGGAAACCGAUAAACACACCGCCUGGGGAGUACGACCGCAAGGUUAAAACUCAAAUGAAUUGACGGG
RNAcentral lists this ribosomal RNA (859 nucleotides) under uncultured bacterium. Its description in RNAcentral is "bacterial SSU rRNA". It matches the Rfam family "Bacterial small subunit ribosomal RNA", at positions 9 to 917 of the family's 1533-position model. The record is from RNAcentral.